GAUAUUUUGUUUCCACCAUGAUAUUAAAAUUAGCGAUUGGCAAGGACUAGAUGAGCAUCGGCAUCACGACCAUAGCGAUCAACCUAGCGCCGGACCUUCAGGUGGCGAUCUUCAAAGCGAUGUCGCACGGCGAGCGAGAAGCAUGUACAGGAGAUCAUCAUCAUCGCGAGUCGAGUGUCGGCGCCUGGUUCAAAGGAGGUUUUCGUAUUAAAUCUGGGCUCCUUUUGGACUCUUCUCGAUUGCAGUCCUAGUUUUGUUAGUCGUUCACCAUAAUCAGCAUGAAGAUCGGGUAGAACAGCCUGUACUGCUGUGAUUGCUUAGCUCCCCUGUGCUGCUAUUAUGUGUUAAUUGAUUUACUUUGUCCUUGAAUUGGUGACCUGUGUGUUUCUUCAACAUUUUAAUUUGAUAUUGGUUGAUAGGAAUAUGAUGUGCUUCCUAACCCCAAAGUGAUAGGAUGCUAAGGUUCUGUUGCAAUUAUGGUUAGGUCAGAAGCUUUGAAGAAUUUUGAUCAAGAAGCUUGAAAGAAAUUGGGUUUGGGGGUUUAUCCUUCUUGUGUUGUGCUAGCAUCCAAGGCACCACAUGCUCCUCCACCUGUAUGUUGAAAUGCAUCACUUAGAUGGUUUAUGCAAUGAUGGUAAUGGAAUUCUUGAAUUUGAUGUUGGCUGCCAUAUGUGUAUUCGUGAUAAAGGUGGUGGAUUUGCAAUUUAUACUGGCAUGCUGGUUCUGAUCUCCAACUGUUUGAUGAUAUGGAGGGGGGUAUCAUAUGCGAAUUUCUGACAAAGGUGGAGGUCUCACGCCUAGGCCUUCGGUGGGGUUGUUGUCUUUGUCGGUUUGUUCACUAUUACAAACCUUAAUUGGUGAAAUGAAGGUCAAGGGGUUGACAGCACGGACUUCAUUUGUAGAUUUUGCAACCAGAUUUUGCAAGUAGAUGAUAAGCUUAGCAAUCAAGUACUGGUGGCCACGUUGGUGCUGGUGCACAUCUCUACUCAGAAUGAAAUAGUUGAGUUAGAUCAAAUUCUAGAUUUGCAAAUGUUGAUAGUGACAACCAUGCUGUUACUUUGGAAGUUUUCUUUUUUUCACAAGCUCAGUUGGGAAUAUUUUUUCCAGAAUCUGAUGUGCCAAACACGUCCAAGGCUUCAAUUCAGUCAUUUGGUUCAGUUUUUUAUGCAACCACAAAGGUGAAUGAAGGGCAAUGGAGUUAGUACCCUGCAAACAGAGAUGGGCGGUGGCGAUGUCAGUUAGCCGACGUCGAGUGGCUGGCAAUUGCUGGCCGGCAACGCGGGCAUCCAGCGGUGGUGGUGGCAGGUGGCCAGCGGUGGCGACGACGAUUGGGCGGCGGGUGGUGGCCAGCGAUUGCUGGUUGGCUAGAUAUGGACAUGUGGCAUAGUAUGCUUACCUUAGAAGGAGUGGCAUUGUGUGUAAUUUUGAUAUUUUUUAAUGAUAUCAGGUACUAUAUUUUGGUCUUUGGCCUUAUGCUAAUUAGAUGAAAUUGUAUUCUUAUCUUCCAAAUUAGUAAACUAUAUUGUGUU
This is a long non-coding RNA of Prunus persica (peach), 1529 nucleotides long. RefSeq lists it as uncharacterized. The transcript has 2 exons. The record is from RefSeq and is a predicted model, not a curated record. Lineage: Eukaryota; Viridiplantae; Streptophyta; Magnoliopsida; Rosales; Rosaceae.